GGUUUUAGCAACUUAUGGGACACCAGUAAACCGUGGCUCGCGUUUGCUGUGAAGCGUCUCCCUAGUUCAGAUCUCCGUGUGUCAUGCGUCCUGGCUCGUAGGGUCAUCAAGGCGUUUGUAAAAAAAACACUGUAGACAUGUACAUGAAGCGAGCAGAAUACCGUGUUGUCAUGCAUUAUGUGUGUACACGGCGGCGAACUAUGCAACACUCAGAUGUCACAUUUUGGGACGUUACAAGAACACACCAGGACAGUCGCCUCGAAUCGAUUUGCUCUCCGAAACCACGAAAGGUUUUGAUGCCAGAGCUGACUGAUGUGUGCACAUAGUUCCCUCAUAUGUUCUUCCUUUGAAAAAAUAAACGCGUUUUGAUGCCAGAGCUGGCUGAUGGGUGCACAUGGUUCCUUCGUAUGUUCUUCCUUUGAAAAAAAUAAACGGAGAGUAUAACUGCAUGUCAAUUGACCUGCUCCCUGUAACAGUUUCCUUUCUCUUUGCAGUGUUUUGAUGCCAGAGAUGACUGAUGGGUGCACAUGGUUCCUUCGUAUGUUCUUCCUUUGAAGAAAUAAACGGGUUUUCAUGCCAAAGGUGACUGGCGCAUUUUCAUCACUAUGUACAUAGAAAAUAAA
Ornithodoros turicata is the source of this 623-nucleotide long non-coding RNA. RefSeq lists it as uncharacterized. The transcript is spliced from 4 exons. The record is from RefSeq and is a predicted model, not a curated record. NCBI's taxonomy places the organism in Eukaryota, Metazoa, Arthropoda, Arachnida, Ixodida, Argasidae.